CCCUAACGCCGUAAUCCGCCUGAAAUUCACUCUUCCUCCUAGGUCCGAGACACCACGUACCUUCUCAGACUCACGGAAGCGAAACCGAAGGCCGAGCCAGAGAGAAACCGUCAAGAGAACCGCCAUCCCGUAUAACAGAACCUCAGACAUCGAACUUCGCUAGCUCCACCCAUCGAUACGAACACCAAACCCCGAUAGCUGACUGGAAGCUGACAACUUCACUGACGAACCACCAGAGCGAUGGCGCUCACCUGGGAAUCUACCGAACCGCAACGAGAGAGAAAGGUACCACCUUGACGACGACGGACGCUUCCUCCUCCGUCUUGAUGAUCAGGUACCGGGUGGGGAGAUGAGACGAGCUCCGACGAGGCUGCCGGAAGACGCAGCGCCUCCACACACGGAGAACACGAAGCUUGAAAGUUAGAGAAAAAAUUUCGUCGCGCGUUAGAUCCACUUGCGCCGCUCAAAGGCCUUCGCUUUUUCUUUCGAUUCAUUAGUUCUUGAUUUACAUAUAAAUAAAUAGAGUGAUGGAUGAAUCUCAUUCUAAGUUUUUCUCACCCUUAGGUUAUAGAAUAACUACAGGAAAAUCUGAUCUGAUGUGACACUACAUUUCAUUCAUUUAGGUUAUAAGGAGGACUUGCAUGGAUCAAGAUGGAGGUCGCUUCAGAUGGUAGCAAUCUCAUGGAGAAGGUCAUGCAUCCUUAUGUGCAGGUACCCACCUUUGUUAGUUAGAAUCUAAAAAAACACUAUAUUGGUUUGUGGGUUUCAGUACAGUUGAGUACUUUGCUUUAAGAAAAUUUUUUUUUCAGGAGAAGAAAAUACUUAUACGAUUUCAGGAUGCGGAGAAGUGCAUCAAGAUCGAUCCAACAUUCUCAAAGGAGUACAGCAGAAAAAUUGCUGUCCAAUUCUUCAUCAAGGAGUAUGAAAAUUCGAUGGACACAUACCAAUAGGGUCGCAAACAUGAUCCUAAUAUUGAGCUUCUCUCGAUGGUGUUAGAAGGUAUGUUAUAUGUGUAAAGGCAUGUAGAAAUUAUUCACUCUGUUAUCUUAGUAGCCUGUGUUACGUUCUGUAAAAUAAUUAUGCAGAUGUGUACAAUAGAUCAACAAGCACACUGUGGUGACCUUACUCCCAAGGAGUUUAAAUAACUACUGGUUAUAUUCUAACUUAUUGUUAUGUAUUCCUUUUUAGGUUUAGAGUCAAUCAGUGAAUUUGUCUUAUUUAUUUUUCUUCUUGCAGACAAGCAGAAUGCGAGACCCGGCAAUCCAAAACAUUCUCACAGAUCCUGUGUUGAGAAGGUAAAGAAACGAAUUUGACUUCUCUAUAUUUUUUUUCUCAGUUCAGAAAUCAAUGUUUGGUUCAGAUGGACUAGAGCAAUCCAUAUUGCUGUUAAUGAUUUUUUUUCAAAAUCUAACACUUCUCUUGGAACAGGUACUGUCUGAUCUGUGAUUGUGACUUACCAGAAGUCUCUUACGUUGAAGAGGCUGAAUGAGACUGUGAGAUUUAAGAAAGAGUUAGAGCAGAAAGAGUAUUCUGAUCUCAGUAUUAGCGAUGCGGAACGUUAAAAUUGGUAAUUUCUUUUUGCAAUUAUAUAUUGGUAAAGAGAAUUGAACUAACAUCCUGUUGUGUUUCUAAUACAUGUAUUGAGCUCUUCAAGGAGAAGAAGUAUCAUGAUGCUGUGAGACAUUACCAUGAAGCGAUCAAAAUGAACCCAAAAGACUUGAGAAGGCAUACGACAAUCGAGCUGCGUGUUACACAAAACUAACAAGUUCUUCCAAGGGAGGCAUAUCGGGAACAAAAGAGAUGUGAAGGUAGCAAUCAAGACAAUACUCGAGGUUGAUCUGAUAGAAGUCAAGGGAGAUAGAAGAAAAUCUGUGUUAUUUAAUGCGGGAAGGGUAGCUAAAGGCCUUAGGCAUCUUGAUGAAAAGUAUUGCAAAGAAACAUGGGAGAUAUUGAGCAGUGUGGUUGUUAUGUAAUACUCGAACGUGAGCAACUCAUAGAGGAGGUGAGCCAUUAACUUCGUUUAGUUUUAAAUUAGUUACGUGACGCAACUCACUUUGGAUUAACAAAUCAGUUCCAGAACAUCAAAGGAGAUGAUAGAGUUUGACUCAUAAUAUGCAAGUGAAAAUAAAACACAAUUCCUGAUUCAUUCCACAUUGUAGUUAGAGUGUUAGGUCUAAGUUUUGAAAACACUAUUUGAACUAUGAAUUUCGACAAAAUUAUAACAUUAUGCAAUAUAAAAUAAGUGAAACAUUCAGGUUCAUGAUGUAAACCACCGAAACAAAUGAUCCAAUGAAAUCAAACCAAAACAAGGUUUAAUAUAUAAUUAUAUAUUUAUGUGGAAUCAAUAGAAACUGCAGCAACUUGAGGAUACAACAUAUCCACAUCUUUGUCUCGAAUUAUUUAGAUAAUUUCUGAGAACUUUUUAAAAACAAUUAGAGGAUUCUAAAUUAUUCGGCAGUUACAGCAUAAAAAUGUUGAAUAAUUAUGGAUAUACACAAGGAUGAUGUAAUAUAAUGCUCCUUUACCAGAAAAAAAAUGUAACGUUUGAAAAGGUCCACAAAAGGUUUGAAGAGGUCAUGGCAUACAAUUUUUUUACUGAAAUUCUAAUUAGAGCAAUGCACUCUUCAGAUGCUAGAGUCUUUAGUGAAAUUAAAACUUUGAAUUUUUUUUCUGAAGGCAAUUUGAAAAAAAAUAUUUGAAAAUUUAGCGUUGUUGAAGUUGAAAAAGUAUUCGAAGUGUAAUAUUUUUUACGAAUUAGAAUGAAUGGUUCCAUUGACAAAAAAAAAUGGUAGUCAUAAAUCAUAUAGCAGCAAACAGAUAUAUAGAAGAAAAAAUAUAUGAAAUUUAAACUAUCAAUUGAUUCAAGUUUAA
Brassica rapa (field mustard) is the source of this 2871-nucleotide long non-coding RNA. RefSeq lists it as uncharacterized. Lineage: Eukaryota; Viridiplantae; Streptophyta; Magnoliopsida; Brassicales; Brassicaceae. The record is from RefSeq and is a predicted model, not a curated record.